Molecule: long non-coding RNA, 209 nt
Filed under: Ananas comosus (pineapple)
Lineage: Eukaryota; Viridiplantae; Streptophyta; Magnoliopsida; Poales; Bromeliaceae
Description: long non-coding RNA (ACOM_LNC036794)
Source: RNAcentral
ACACUUUAAACUAUAGAAUACUAAAGUGAGAAAAUGCGAAACCACAGGGUACUAACUUGAUACACUUUAAACUACAGAAUACUGAAAUGAAAAAGUGCGAAACCAUAGAGGGUAUUUGAAGUUUUCCUUUUGUUUUGAGAGAAAGAGACAGAGAGUGUUUUUUUUUUUUUUUUUCGAGAGUAAGAGACCGAGCGUCUAUGAAGAGACGA